GCCGUGCAAAUCGGUUCCUCCACGCGGGGCACGGCGGGCAACGGAUAUUUUCCGGCGAAACCGAUU
This 66-nucleotide non-coding RNA is filed under the name unclassified sequences. The record is from RNAcentral.